CCGCUGCAAAUGGCCCCUAUCCACGCUGGUCCAUACAUGUCAGUGGGGUGGCUGUAUCCUGUUGGGUUUGCUUAGGAGUUACAGCGCCUGCAACCACUGUUGCUGGCAGGGACGCGCGUGCCUCUCUCUCCUUCCCCAUCAAGACUCGCUUCGCCCAAUCCCCGCCUCUUCGUCCGUCUCCACAGGCCAUCGUCAGCCGCCGCCGUCGCCCGUCAUUGUCUUCCUCACUGCCUGCUUGCCAUAUAGCAAUGGCUUUCCUCGCUGUCGCUGCCGCUGCUGUGUUCGGUUAGGGGGUAAGGAUUUGCCUCCCCUUCCAACAAAUCGAUUUCGUUCUUCCAGUGCCAGCAUUAUGCGCUGAUUUGUUACCGCCAAGGUCCAGGUUCCCACGCUCACGGUGAAGAGGCUAUGGCAAAGGGCAUGCAGAGGAGCAGCAGGGCUCACUGAGGGGGAGAGGGUGUUAUAAAGGGGAGCCGUGAAGGAGGAGGGGCCGCGGCAGCAGGAGCUCGCGAUGGCGGAGAAGAUUCCGUGGCGGUGAAGCGGAGCUUGCAUAUGUCGGACCGCGCUCCGCCGGCAAGGUUGCGCCCACGUUGCUGAAGUAGCAGGGGAAGCCGAAGGAGGGGGCGCGGUAGCCGGCGGGGCGACCCACGUCGCUGAAGUAGCAGGGGAAGCCGAACGAGGGCGCACGGCAUCCUGUGGCCACGAUAGCCGGCGGGGCGACGCGGCAUCGCUGACUCUGCAUCCACCGCCGUCCCUUUGAGUCUCGCGUGGUGGCCGGCAGGGUGACAGGAGGAGGGGCACAUGUUGCUUGCUGCUCAUGGCACUGCUGCGCCCAGGCUCUUCCUCCUCGACAAGUCUAGGUCAUUCCUCAUCUCAUCUGACCACACUCAUGCCACAUAACCUGCUACAGCCGCGCGCUGUGUGUGGCGAGGGAUUACUUCUCCUGUGCAGUAAUACCCUUUUUGGAGUGUCCCAUGUUUGCAACUAUCCUUAUCUGCAGAGAAAAACAAAGGGACAAACAAAGUCCAGAUGCAAGGUGCAAGGCAGGAAAGGCGGUAGUAGGUCGAGAGAAGUGUAGAAGAGGGUUCCUCCAGGCUCCAUCCAUGUACGGUGUCGGUCCGAUGCCUCGGGCAUGUGGCAGUGUCGGGGACCAGCGAGGAAGAUGCUGGUGUACAUCCUUUGGAAUAAAGUUGAAGUCUCUGAUAUAACGGUUCAGAAUAAAUAUCCAAUGAAGAUGAUGCGUGACGAACAGCAUGGUGAUGAUCCAUAAAGCCCUACAUUGUUCUUUUGCUCGCUGGUGACUUUACUACUUUCUGAUUGCAUGCCAAGUAGCCGAGCAGACACUUUCUUCGUAGAUUAGUUGUUUAGUUUCAUAUACUGAAUGCUUUGUCGAGUGCGGUGUCAUUGCAACAGCAAAGCUCAAACAUCCUUCAAAGUAUGUCUCAGGUUUAAGAAUGCUAAGCCCAGCAGUCUAUAAUGCAUAUAUAAAAGAUGGAAACUACACAAUCAUAUCCUUAGAGUGCAUAAAUAUCAUCUAUGCUGUUGGGAAUUAUAAUGAAAUAUUGAUAACUGAAUGAAUACUCUUGUUAACUCACCGGGUGAAAUUGAAGAGACAUAUUCUGAAAAUCAAAAUUAUUUCUGAGUUUGUAUUCUACUCGUACACAUCUUCAUAUCCACUAGCACAUUCAAAUUCCAUAUAUGCAUGGAGUAGCAGUACGAUUGGUCAAAAUAAAAAGACAGGAUGCUGCUUUGCAGAAAGUGGUCGUCAAGUAAUUAUUCUGCUGUUGGGAAUCGCCCACGAUCGAUCACAAUUCACAUCAAGUCGACGAACAUGACACACAAAAACUUUUGGCCAAAGGCAUGUGCCAUGUCUUGUUCUUCUCUUUAUUUCUUUUCUAUUUUCUCCACACGAUUACAAAACUCAUGCAGCUUCAUGUGUGUGUGUGUGUCUAUACACACACACGCGCGCGCGAAGCCAUGAGCCCAUGACCCAAUAACUGAACCAAGUAGUGGAAUAUUGUUGGUGCAAAUAAAUGUUCUUUGAGUUUAGAUGAUGCAUGGAUAAAUAACUCUAUGUGAUGAUUUAUUUGCCGGCACUGAUUACAUUCCCCAUGCAUUGUUGACGUUCCCACCCUUUGCCCUGCUAAUUCACGAAUUAGGUUUCAGACCCGAUAGCUUGUUAUGCUGUGUUGCAAUUAAACAGAAGUAUGGAUCUAGGAAAUUCAUGACUAGCUAUUGGUCUUCCUAUCAGCAGUAGAGAGAUGCCUGGUCAGCAGAUAUAUGUGUCUGAAACCUUUGCAUGGUGUACAUGCUAUACUAUGUAAUAAAUAAAAGGUAGUUUAAUUUUUUAUUAUGCCGCUAAGAUACCCAAUCAGACUGAUUAUACAUACACCCAAAACAAUAUAUUAUAGUCUGAACUAUGAAACUAUACUCAAGAGGAAAGGUUAUACAUCAAUCCUUUCUGCAGAUUUCUUAUCAUCUCAUUCUGUCCUGUAUGAUUAUUUUAUGCCACGCAAAUUGCUAGAUAUAUUCAUACUCUCCGUUUAACCAUAACAUCAAGAACACCCAAAAAUUAGCAAUCCUAACAGGUCUGCUGCUUGCGGGCAGAAAGUAACUAUCAAGGAAGAAGAGUUAGAUGCUAGCCACAUACCUGUCGAAGAUAUUGGCGGUAAGCAUGUGUCGUACAGGUUAUUUAUGCUUUCCCUUAAGCCAUUCUUAGCCAACCCCGUGCAGUCCAUGCGCUAUGCAUAAGAACCACAGAUCGCUCAAGCAGCGUCGAAGCCUGCCUGUGACUGUUCCAAAUGCAUGCUUAUCAAUCCAGGUCCGACUUCUGUUCCACCAGUCUACUUCAAAAUGUUAGACAUCCAACAGUUACAGAUGUUCACGCUGCUUACUUCCUACCUUACUGCUUCAUUGUUUUAUUACAAAAGCCAGCUCUGAGGCAAAAACUUGAACACAGAGCUUCACACAGCAAUGUUUGCCUCAGCAACAACGCCACAGAACCGGACCAUCGAUGGAAAAGGGUCCAUUUAGCUGAUGGGGAAUACAUUGUCCAUGGGAAAAACCUGGCUUCCUUUAUGUAACUUGUGUCGCUUUGGAAACAUAAUAAACACUAUGAAUUUCGUGGUGAGAACUACAUAGAUGAAAGAUGAGCUGAGUGACCAUUGUAUAUGGGGAAACAGUGUGACCCUAUACACAUGCCAUGUAUAAGAUCAAUGUAAAUGAGCUGCAUGACCUGCCUUCGUACCUUUCUUUGUACAUCGUUAGUCCUUUUGGGCUAUCAUGCUACCAUGACUCAAGUAUAAACCAUUAUGUAUAAAGAUACUAUCUAAGUAUCCAUUUACAUGGUGUUUAAGUCCACUACAGAUCCAACGUAGGUUUGAUAUUAUCUUGCCUGGCCUCAUGCAAAUCUUUCUUGCAUAACAGGAUAUACCUAUUCAGUGAUUUUGCUCCUCUUUAUUGAACUUUUAUUGUUUCUUGCUC
Molecule: long non-coding RNA, 3480 nt
Organism: Triticum aestivum (bread wheat)
Lineage: Eukaryota; Viridiplantae; Streptophyta; Magnoliopsida; Poales; Poaceae
Exons: 7
Source: RefSeq, a predicted model, not a curated record